Molecule: transfer RNA, 74 nt
Filed under: Metallosphaera sedula
Lineage: Archaea; Thermoproteati; Thermoproteota; Thermoprotei; Sulfolobales; Sulfolobaceae
Also listed under: 7 other names
Description: tRNA-Ile2 (CAT) (tRNA-Ile2-CAT-1-1)
Rfam family: tRNA
About the family: Transfer RNA (tRNA) molecules are approximately 80 nucleotides in length.
Source: RNAcentral
GGGCCCGUAGCUCAGCUAGGUAGAGCGCGCGGCUCAUAACCGCGUGGUCGAGGGUUCAAAUCCCUCCGGGCCCA